This 253-nucleotide ribosomal RNA is filed under the name uncultured bacterium. RNAcentral describes it as "partial 16S ribosomal RNA". It matches the Rfam family "Bacterial small subunit ribosomal RNA", at positions 524 to 776 of the family's 1533-position model. The record is from RNAcentral.
UACGGAGGGGGCUAGCGUUGUUCGGAAUUACUGGGCGUAAAGCGCACGUAGGCGGCUUUGUAAGUUAGAGGUGAAAGCCCGGGGCUCAACCCCGGAAUUGCCUUUAAGACUGCAUCGCUUGAACGUCGGAGAGGUGAGUGGAAUUCCGAGUGUAGAGGUGAAAUUCGUAGAUAUUCGGAAGAACACCGACGGCGCAGGCAGCGUCCUGGCCGCUUGCUGACACUGAGGCACGAAAGCUGGGGGAGCAAACAGG